AAUGGAAAAUUUGUUUAGAUAUUUUACAUUUCCUGAAGAUGUCUUCUUAUUUGAACCCUAGAGGUUUAUGGUCUUUCUCUCAGGAUUCCCAGAGGUACCGGGAUUCUUAAGGAGGAGUUGGGUAGGAAACAGGUAUCUACACGUUCUAGAAGACUUGUUCAUUGGAUAAUCGUCAAUGACUAUAAUUAGGCCUGUCUACAAAGAAGAGGAUUCCACACAAGGAAAAGUGCUCUAAGAUACCAAAAUGACUCAACAGCUUAACCUGACCUGGGUAUACUGAUAUGUGUGUGGAGAGAAUGACCCAUACAGGUUUUAGAGGAUGUACUUUCCUUUUGCUGAGAAAAAAUACAGAGCAAAUUUCCCUCCAAGCUUUUUCUAUCUCCUCUAAAGCUACACCAAAACCAGAAGCCUGACCUUUGGAUUCUUCCAUGACCCCAGCAUUCUCAGCAGGUCAACUGAAAACCACAAGAAGAAACAAAGACACCUACAGAAUAAAUUCUGCCUAUUCUGUAAGUUCUCUAUCAAAUACAUUUAUUAUUUACAAAUCCAGGUUUCUAUACAUAUGGAGUCUAUAAAUGUAUUGUGUGUUUGUGCUAUUGG
Molecule: long non-coding RNA, 600 nt
Filed under: Felis catus (domestic cat)
Lineage: Eukaryota; Metazoa; Chordata; Mammalia; Carnivora; Felidae
Description: lncRNA (ENSFCAG00000043645.2)
Source: RNAcentral